Molecule: ribosomal RNA, 1007 nt
Filed under: Salmonella enterica subsp. enterica
Lineage: Bacteria; Pseudomonadati; Pseudomonadota; Gammaproteobacteria; Enterobacterales; Enterobacteriaceae
Description: partial 23S ribosomal RNA
Rfam family: Bacterial large subunit ribosomal RNA
Source: RNAcentral
AGACCCGAAACCCGGUGAUCUAGCCAUGGGCAGGUUGAAGGUUGGGUAACACUAACUGGAGGACCGAACCGACUAAUGUUGAAAAAUUAGCGGAUGACCUGUGGCUGGGGGUGAAAGGCCAAUCAAACCGGGAGAUAGCUGGUUCUCCCCGAAAGCUAUUUAGGUAGCGCCUCGUGAAUUCAUCUCCGGGGGUAGAGCACUGUUUCGGCUAGGGGGCCAUCCCGGCUUACCAACCCGAUGCAAACUGCGAAUACCGGAGAAUGUUAUCACGGGAGACACACGGCGGGUGCUAACGUCCGUCGUGAAGAGGGAAACAACCCAGACCGCCAGCUAAGGUCCCAAAGUCAUGGUUAAGUGGGAAACGAUGUGGGAAGGCCCAGACAGCCAGGAUGUUGGCUUAGAAGCAGCCAUCAUUUAAAGAAAGCGUAAUAGCUCACUGGUCGAGUCGGCCUGCGCGGAAGAUGUAACGGGGCUAAACCAUGCACCGAAGCUGCGGCAGCGAACGUAUCACCCAAGACAACUUUACGGAGUUGACGAUUGACGGAGCGAAGCGACGUCAAAGCGUUCAUUAAAGUCGAGUUGGCUUAGGGAUACGUUCGUUGGGUAGGGGAGCGUUCUGUAAGCCUGUGAAGGUGUGUCGUGAGGCAUGCUGGAGGUAUCAGAAGUGCGAAUGCUGACAUAAGUAACGAUAAAGCGGGUGAAAAGCCCGCUCGCCGGAAGACCAAGGGUUCCUGUCCAACGUUAAUCGGGGCAGGGUGAGUCGACCCCUAAGGCGAGGCCGAAAGGCGUAGUCGAUGGGAAACGGGUUAAUAUUCCCGUACUUGGUGUUACUGCGAAGGGGGGACGGAGAAGGCUAUGUUGGCCGGGCGACGGUUGUCCCGGUUUAAGCGUGUAGGUGUGUGUUCCAGGUAAAUCCGGUUCACUUUAACACUGAGGCGUGAUGACGAGGCACUACGGUGCUGAAGCAACAAAUGCCCUGCUUCCAGGAAAAGCCUCUAAGCAUCAGG